GAAUAUUUCUACGACAGUACAUUCAUAUUUUAUUGUUUAUUUAGCUAGCUAAUAUUUAGUAAAACAGUUGUAGCCUGCCAGGAUAUUGAGCAAGAUGGCCAGCUAGCUAGCCAGCAACAGUCACGAGCUCCAUCUUCGAAUCUAGCCUGUUGACAGAGAUGUUCCUCAGGAAACCAACUGUGGCUGCGCAAUAUACGGGAGAGAAACUGAAACGGCUGCUUGAGCAGUGAUGGACUGGUCAUCUGGCCAUGGGCCUGAGCCCUAGGACCAUGCCUCAGGACUACCUGGCAUGAUGUCUCCUUGCUGUCCACGGUCCACCUAGUCGUGCUGCUGCUCCAGUUUCAACUGUUCUGCCUGCGGCUAUGGAACCCUGACCUGUUCACCGGACGUGCUACCUGUCCCAGACCUGCUGUUUUCAACUCUCUAGA
Molecule: long non-coding RNA, 428 nt
Organism: Oncorhynchus gorbuscha (pink salmon)
Lineage: Eukaryota; Metazoa; Chordata; Actinopteri; Salmoniformes; Salmonidae
Exons: 3
Source: RefSeq, a predicted model, not a curated record